CCUACGGGGGGCAGCAGUGGGGAAUCUUGCACAAUGGGCGCAAGCCUGAUGCAGCGAUGCCGCGUGCGGGAAGAAGGCCUUAGGGUUGUAAACCGCUUUCAGGAGGGAAGAAAAUGACGGUACCUCCAGAAGAAGGUGCGGCCAACUACGUGCCAGCAGCCGCGGUGACACGUAGGCACCAAGCGUUAUCCGGAUUUAUUGGGCGUAAAGAGCUCGUAGGCGGUUUGGUAAGUCGGGUGUGAAAACUCUGGGCUCAACCCAGAGAGGCCACUCGAUACUGCUAUGACUAGAGUACGGUAGGGGAGCGGGGAAUUCCUGGUGUAGCGGUGAAAUGCGCAGAUAUCAGGAGGAACACCAGCGGCGAAGGCGCCGCUCUGGGCCGUAACUGACGCUGAGGAGCGAAAGCAUGGGUAGCAAACAGGAUUAGAUACCCGGGUAGUC
RNAcentral lists this ribosomal RNA (441 nucleotides) under uncultured bacterium. Its description in RNAcentral is "bacterial SSU rRNA". It matches the Rfam family "Bacterial small subunit ribosomal RNA", at positions 338 to 795 of the family's 1533-position model. The record is from RNAcentral.